RNAcentral lists this ribosomal RNA (305 nucleotides) under uncultured bacterium. RNAcentral describes it as "partial 16S ribosomal RNA". It matches the Rfam family "Bacterial small subunit ribosomal RNA", at positions 505 to 807 of the family's 1533-position model. The record is from RNAcentral.
ACAGCAGUCGCCACGGGAAUACGUAGGGUGCAAGCGUUAAUCGGAAUUACUGGGCGUAAAGCGUGCGCAGGCGGUUAUAUAAGACAGAUGUGAAAUCCCCGGGCUCAACCUGGGAACUGCAUUUGUGACUGUAUAGCUAGAGUACGGCAGAGGGGGAUGGAAUUCCGCGUGUAGCAGUGAAAUGCGUAGAUAUGCGGAGGAACACCGAUGGCGAAGGCAAUCCCCUGGGCCUGUACUGACGCUCAUGCACGAAAGCGUGGGGAGCAAACAGGAUUAGAUACCCGUGUAGUCCCUGUCUCUUAUAC